CCUAGUGGCGGACGGGGGAGUAACGCGUGAGUAACCUGCCUUUCAGAGGGGAAGAACGUUCUGAAAAGAACGCUAAUACCGCAUAACGUACAGUUACCGCAUGGUAGCAGUACCAAAGGAGCAAUCCGCUGAAAGAUGGACUCGCGUCCGAUUAGCUAGUUGGUGGGGUAAAGGCCUACCAAGGCGACGAUCGGUAGCCGGACUGAGAGGUUGAACGGCCACAUUGGGACUGAGACACGGCCCAG
RNAcentral lists this ribosomal RNA (245 nucleotides) under uncultured bacterium. RNAcentral describes it as "partial 16S ribosomal RNA". It matches the Rfam family "Bacterial small subunit ribosomal RNA", at positions 91 to 334 of the family's 1533-position model. The record is from RNAcentral.